AUGGUGUGCCCGACAUGGCUCAGCAUGUUUCCGCUGGAUGCUACACGCAUAAAAGCCGGCAGCUUCUGCAACUCUUGUAGCUGGGGCUUCCACCUUAGCAGAGAAACAGCAGAGUUGUCCUUGCUGGGUGUAUCAGAAGUAUUGGAUGGCUUCUUCUCCUUCUCAUCAUCUUCAUCGUCCUCCUCAUCACUGCCUUUCUCCUCCUGAAGAUACGGAUGACACAAUGUGUUAAUCAGCUAGAUUGCAACACAGAAUGUCCUUACCCCACAACCUGACACAUUACCGUGUCCAUUAAAACCGAACUGAAAUAUA
Molecule: long non-coding RNA, 312 nt
Organism: Thunnus maccoyii (southern bluefin tuna)
Lineage: Eukaryota; Metazoa; Chordata; Actinopteri; Scombriformes; Scombridae
Exons: 2
Source: RefSeq, a predicted model, not a curated record